ACUCGGUUAACUCAAUGGGAGAGUACCUGCCCUACAAGCAGGAAGUUAUGGGUUCAAGUCCCUUACCGGGUACCA
Molecule: transfer RNA, 75 nt
Filed under: Ruminococcaceae bacterium YRB3002
Lineage: Bacteria; Bacillati; Bacillota; Clostridia; Eubacteriales; Oscillospiraceae
Description: tRNA_Val_TAC
Rfam family: tRNA
About the family: Transfer RNA (tRNA) molecules are approximately 80 nucleotides in length.
Source: RNAcentral